This 19-nucleotide transfer RNA is filed under the name Trachycephalus resinifictrix (mission golden-eyed treefrog). Its description in RNAcentral is "partial tRNA-Gln". Lineage: Eukaryota; Metazoa; Chordata; Amphibia; Anura; Hylidae. The record is from RNAcentral.
UUAUAGGCUCAAUUCCUAU